GAUGAACGCUGGCGGCGUGCCUAAUACAUGCAAGUCGAGCGAACAGACGAGGAGCUUGCUCCUCUGACGUAAGCGGCGGACGGGUGAGUAACACGUGGAUAACCUACCUAUAAGACUGGGAUAACUUCGGGAAACCGGAGCUAAUACCGGAUAAUAUAUUGAACCGCAUGGUUCAAUAGUGAAAGACGGUUUUGCUUUCACUUAUAGAUGGAUCCGCGCCGCAUUAGCUAGUUGGUAAGGUAACGGCUUACCAAGGCAACGAUGCGUAGCCGACCUGAGAGGGUGAUCGGCCACACUGGAACUGAGACACGGUCCAGACUCCUACGGGAGGCAGCAGUAGGGAAUCUUCCGCAAUGGGCGAAAGCCUGACGGAGCAACGCCGCGUGAGUGAUGAAGGUCUUCGGAUCGUAAAACUCUGUUAUUAGGGAAGAACAAAUGUGUAAGUAACUAUGCACGUCUUGACGGUACCUAAUCAGAAAGCCACGGCUAACUACGUG
This 497-nucleotide ribosomal RNA is filed under the name uncultured bacterium. Its description in RNAcentral is "partial 16S ribosomal RNA". It matches the Rfam family "Bacterial small subunit ribosomal RNA", at positions 28 to 507 of the family's 1533-position model. The record is from RNAcentral.